GUAGGAUAGGAGCAUAAGGAAGGAUAGGAUAGGAGGAUAAGGAAGGAAGGAUAGGAUAGGAGAAUAAAGAAGGGAAGGAUAGGAGGAUAAGGAAGGAUAGGAUAGGAGGAUAAAGAAGGGUAGGAUAGGAGGAUAAGGAAGGAAGGGUAGGAUAGGAGGAUAAGGAAGGAAGGAUAGGAUAGGAGGAUAAAGAAGGGUAGGAUAGGAGGAUAAGGAAGGAUAGGAUAGGAGCAUAAGGAAGGAUAUGAUAGGAGGAUAAGGAAGGAAGGAUAGGAUAGGAGGAUAAAGAAGGGUAGGAUAGGAGCAUAAGGAAGGAUAGGAUAGGAGGAUAAGGAAGGAAGGAUAGGAUAGGAGGAUAAAGAAGGGUAGGAUAGGAGGAUAAGGAAGGGUAGGAUAGGAGGAUAAGGAAGGAUAUGGAAAGGAAGGAUUGGAUAGGAGGAUAAAGAAGUGUAGGAUAGGAGGAUAAGGAACGAAGGAUAGGAUAAGGAGAGGUAGGAUAGGAGGAUAAGGAAGGAAUCAACAGUAACACACUCAUCAGUAAUCCUCAGGCUCGGCUGCGCGCACACACAUGUACACACAAAACAGGCUGAUCUUAUCAGUGGCAGCCAUAGGGUUGCUGUAAUAACCCUGCUGAGGGUGGAGGGUUUGUGUGUUAGUGCUGCGUGUGUUAGUGCUGCGUGUGUUAGUGCUGCGUGUGUUAGUGCUGCGUGUGUUAGUGCUGCGUGUGUUAGUGCUGCGUGUGUUAGUGCUACGUGUGUUAGUUGUGCGUGUGUUUGUGUGCGUGUUUGUGCGCAUGCUUGUGUUUGUGCGCGUGUUUGUGCGCGUGUGCACAAAGUAGUGGUGCUGGAGGUGCUGCAGCACCCCCCUGAUAAAUUGAAAUAAUUUAGCCAAAAUUAGGCUUUUUUUUUUUUAAGUAUUCAAAAUGAUAUUAGUCAUGUCUGAACAUCAUUGAAAAUACUACAUGAGAGAGCAUAAUUUAGCGACAGGCUCAAUAGCUUCUAAAAAAAUAGCUGUGGGUAAAGUUUUAUGACUUAGGGCAGCAAGUGCAACACGUAUAGAACAUCUUUUAGAGUUGUGGCCAUAAACAUAUUAUCCAUAGAAAGGGUUUUGAACAAAUUUAAAAAUGCAAUCAUGAGAAAAAUGCCUACUGCUGAGAAGAGAAGACUGAUCUGUCUGUAGAAAAAAAGAAAAAAAAAACUCAAAAGUUUCUUAUCUUGAGAUAGGGUAUUGGCAUGAGAACAUUGGCCAUCACCGGUGAGUAACCUAGGCUUAACCUUCAUCAUUGGGUGAGUCAGUGCCACUGGAAAAUGUAUUUAGUAGCCUACUGCAUCCUAUAAUAUACAGUAUAUCAGUGGAGGUCAGUGCCGUUUAAGAUGGAGGACGAUUAUUUGCAUCUAGCUGAUCUUGGGUGUAAUCAUCAGUUCAACAGUUGCAAACGAGUUUCUUUUGGACAAAUUCAGGUAUGUUUAUCCCUGUUUGCUUCCGUUUAAGAAAAGUUUUUCAAUAGAAUCGGCGGACUGAAUACACCGCUGAUCAUAGGCAAACACAAUCACUUUCAUAGCAGCCACAUACAAACAGCAUGAUCACGUAAUUCCUUCUCGAAUCUACGCGCGCUCCUCCUCUCACGUUUUCCCUCCGCUUGUGGACUUCAGUGUACAACAAAUCAGCAGUCUGUGACCAGGCGCAAAACCUUUCCACGUCAUAUCAUAACCACUGUUUACAUAUAGUAUUAGCUAACAUCAUAGUCAACAUGGCUACUAAAAUGAACGCGUUAGUAAACCUGCUACAGUUAUGCAGUUCAGUCAGCAAGCAGAUUAGCAGGUACUCUGACGGACUCCAGUGGUAAUAAAAUCAUAAAACCAAAAGCUUACAUUGACUUGGAAGAGUUCCAGUGUUGGAUAGCCAUAGCCAACUAGCUGGCAUAGCAUCCCUCUCUGUUUGAGCCGGGAGUUUUGAGUAG
Oncorhynchus tshawytscha (Chinook salmon) is the source of this 1960-nucleotide long non-coding RNA. The record is from Ensembl. Lineage: Eukaryota; Metazoa; Chordata; Actinopteri; Salmoniformes; Salmonidae.